Myotis lucifugus (little brown bat) is the source of this 135-nucleotide small nucleolar RNA. Its record names the gene SNORA71. It matches the Rfam family "Small nucleolar RNA SNORA71". From Rfam's summary of the family: The members of this family belong to the H/ACA class of snoRNAs which bind a number of proteins (including dyskerin, Gar1p and Nop10p) to form snoRNP complexes. This class of snoRNAs are thought to guide the sites of modification of uridines to pseudouridines by forming direct base pairing interactions with substrate RNAs. Lineage: Eukaryota; Metazoa; Chordata; Mammalia; Chiroptera; Vespertilionidae. The record is from Ensembl.
ACCUGCAUUCGCAAGUGAUUGUGGGCUGCCUGUGCCCUGGUCGUUGAUAAUGCAGGGAGAGGAACUGCUGAAAGCAUUUCCCCGUGUUUGGAGGGUCUGCCCCCAGUUGGUUCCAAACCUUGGAGCUUUCGUACA